GGCGAUGGAUCAUUCAAGUUUCUGACCUAUCAGCUUUCGACGGUACUGUAUUGGACUACCGUGGCAGUGACGGGUAACGGGGAAUUAGGGUUCGAUUCCGGAGAGGGAGCCUGAGAAACGGCUACCACAUCUAAGGAAGGCAGCAGGCGCGCAAAUUACCCAAUCCUGACUCAGGGAGGUAGUGACAAGAAAUAACAACACUGGAAAUUAUAUUUCUAGUGAUUGGAAUGAUGGGAAUCCAAACCCCUUUCAGAGUAACAAUUGGAGGGCAAGUCUGGUGCCAGCAGCCGCGGUAAUUCCAGCUCCAAUAGCGUAUAUUAAAGUUGUUGCAGUUAAAAAGCUCGUAGUUGGAUAUCUGCUGGAAGCAGCCAGUCCGCCCUUUGCGGGUGUGCACUUGGUGAAUUCUGGCAUCCUCCUGAUUGGUGUCAUCAUCACUUCAUUGUGUUGGUGGCAGCUGUCAGGACCGUUACUUUGAGAAAAUUAGAGUGUUUCAAGCAGGCUUGUUGCCUUGAAUACUGCAGCAUGGAAUAACAAGAUAGGAUUUCGGUUCUAUUUUGUUGGUUUCUAGGACUGAAGUAAUGAUUAAUAGGGACAGUUGGGGGCAUUCGUAUUUAACUGUCAGAGGUGAAAUUCUUAGAUUUGUUAAAGACGAACUACUGCGAAAGCAUUUGCCAAAGAUGUUUUCAUUAAUCAAGAACGAAAGUUAGGGGCUCGAAGACGAUCAGAUACCGUCGUAGUCUUAACCAUAAACUAUGCCGACUAGAGAUAG
RNAcentral lists this ribosomal RNA (769 nucleotides) under Sarcocystis svanai. RNAcentral describes it as "SSU rRNA". It matches the Rfam family "Eukaryotic small subunit ribosomal RNA", at positions 286 to 1055 of the family's 1831-position model. Lineage: Eukaryota; Apicomplexa; Conoidasida; Eucoccidiorida; Sarcocystidae. The record is from RNAcentral.